Molecule: long non-coding RNA, 1843 nt
Filed under: Homo sapiens (human)
Lineage: Eukaryota; Metazoa; Chordata; Mammalia; Primates; Hominidae
Description: HSALNT0006326
Source: RNAcentral
GAAAAAGACAAGGAUUUUUAUUAUUGUCUGCCUCUAGUAAAGAUUCCUUGGAUGAGACUAGCUGUUCCCAGCAUGCCAUUAGAUAAGACCUCUAUGGGGCAAGAGAGGAAAGCCUUCCCAGAUGCCUGGACUUCAGAUGUUUUCCUUGUUUGAUGUUGAAAGCUGAGAAUUUCCCUGGCUCAUGACCCCUGGAAACAAAUGCUGGAUUAUCUGUUGCGCUGGAUUAUCUGUGCCUGGCCCCUGCAGCUGCAUAGAGAAUUGUGUGUUGCCUGCACAGACUGAAGCUCUCCAUCCAUCCUGCGUGCAUUUUGUACUCGCCUGUGUGUAAGGUUCUGUGCUGUUCACUCUUCACCAGAAAAACUCCUGCCUAUCCUGUAAAACCCAGCUCAGAGGUCCAGAAAAUGACCCUGCACAAAGCCUCUGCAGAGGAAGUCACAUCAAAUUCUGAAGAAUCUUCCAGACCAUGAUCUCUGACCACAAUGCAAUAUAAUUAGAACUCAACAAGAAAAACAUAAACCUCCCAUAGGCUGAGAAACUGAAAAACAUACUUUGAAAUCAUUCAAGAGUUAAAGAGGAAAUUACACUGAAAUUUAUGAACUAUUUAGAACUGAAUGAUAAGGAAAACACAAGCAGUUUCCAAAUCAUUUCCCCUAUGAAGUCAGCCCUGACCCCACAUGGCUCCUCAGAUGGCUCUCCACCCUCUACCCAUUUCUACGCCCUAGGAGGCUGACGUCUAUGGGCUGCAGCAACAGGUUCCCUUGUUCUUAGCUUCUGGGAGGAUUCAGCUAGUGGGGGAAACCUGGCCAGAGAUCAGACGGAGGGAGAGAGGGAGGAGAGUGAGGCCUCUUACUUGCCCCCUGUCCUUCCCUGUAUGAUUGCUGUGAGCUGGGUAUGCCCCUCCACCUUAGGCCACAGCAGCGCCCUCCUCAUAGCUCCCACUUUCACCAUUCCUUCCCCACACUCCUGCAGCCUGGGGUUGACAGCCUCUGCUCUUGUGAGCCCUUUGGUGAUACACUGUGUGGUUUCCCUACACCUUGACCAUACCUGUAAAUAAUGUCUUCAUUAAACAUACCCAUUCUGGGUGUUCCAUGUGCUUCCUGCAAAUACCCCGACUCUUACAAAGUCCGUCAGUCCACAACCACAUUCUCACUUCUGGGUGACUGAGCUGUGACCUUGUGUAUCUCUGUGUGUUGUCCCCUUUACUGACCUGUCAGCACCUGAGGUCGGCAACCAGGUCAGCUUUAUCACCCAGUCCCCUGAUCUGAUAUGAGUGGAGAGUUAUACUCAAUAAAAGAUAUUGAUUAGGAUAUCAAAUAAAUAAAGAAGCAUAGUUUAAUUUGCUCCAUAAGCAAGUGUUUGUUUAUAGGGGAUUCAGGGCAGAGAGUUAAGAGUCAGACAUAAAAAUACAGAGAACUUUAGACUGGGGCAAAAAUUGGUGCUCAACAAAAGAACAUACCCACAGUUCUAUGAGCUGGGAUUCUUUCUUUACUUUUAUUUUAGGUUCAAGGGUACAUGUGUAGGUUUGUUAUAUAAGUAAACUCUGUGUCAUGGGGAUUUGGUGUACAGAUAAUUUCAUCACCGAGGUAAGCAGCAUAGUACCUGAUGGGUAUUUUUGUCUCAUCCUCCCUCCUCCCGCCCUCCACUCCCAAGCAGGCCCCAGUGUCUGCUGUUCCCCUCCUAGUAUCUAUGUAUUCUCAUUGUUUAGCUCCUACUUGUAAGUGAGAAUAUGCAGUAUUUGGUUUUCUAUUCCUGUGUUAGUCUGCUUAGGAUAAUGGCCUCCAGCUCCAGCCCAUGUUGCUGCAAAGGAUAUGAUCUGGGUUAAGGAUCUAGCGUGUUCUCAUGU